Molecule: ribosomal RNA, 407 nt
Filed under: uncultured Paludibaculum sp.
Lineage: Bacteria; Pseudomonadati; Acidobacteriota; Terriglobia; Bryobacterales; Bryobacteraceae
Description: bacterial SSU rRNA
Rfam family: Bacterial small subunit ribosomal RNA
Source: RNAcentral
UGGGGAAUCUUGCACAAUGGGGGGAACCCUGAUGCAGCGACGCCGCGUGAGCGAUGAAGCCCUUCGGGGUGUAAAGCUCUUUCGGCAGGAACGAUAAUGACGGUACCUGCAGAAGAAGCUGCGGCUAACUACGUGCCAGCAGCCGCGGUAAUACGUAGGCAGCGAGCGUUGUUCGGAGUUACUGGGCGUAAAGAGUAUGUAGGCGGUUCUCCAAGUCUGGUGUGAAAUCUCCCGGCUUAACCGGGAGGGUGCAUUGGAAACUGGGGGGCUGGAGUGCGGGAGAGGGAAGCGGAAUUCCUGGUGUAGCGGUGAAAUGCGUAGAUAUCAGGAGGAACACCCGCGGUGUAGACGGCUUCCUGGACCGUAACUGACGCUGAGAUACGAAAGCGUGGGGAGCAAACAGGAUU